Molecule: long non-coding RNA, 247 nt
Filed under: Homo sapiens (human)
Lineage: Eukaryota; Metazoa; Chordata; Mammalia; Primates; Hominidae
Description: non-protein coding lnc-SFXN5-3:1
Source: RNAcentral
UAUUUUCAUGUUACAGAAAGCACCUUCUUAGAUGACAGACGCAUUAUUUAUCCUUCAUAAGUUUUAUUGAAAGUUUCUGUAAAGGGCCUUUACUGCAGGAUAGAGACAGUCAACAUAGUGCUUUAGGAAUCAUCUGGAGACCAGUGAAACAACUAAAAAUAUACUGAAACUUUAGGUGAAAAGAAAAUCUUUAAAAUAAAGUCAAACCAUUUUUUCAGUGAUGUAUUUUUUCAUUUUGUUAAUUGUC